This 378-nucleotide unclassified non-coding RNA is filed under the name plant metagenome. RNAcentral's name for it is "partial contains 5.8S ribosomal RNA, internal transcribed spacer 2, and large subunit ribosomal RNA". The stretch from base 1 to 105 matches the Rfam family "5.8S ribosomal RNA", at positions 50 to 154 of the family's 154-position model. The record is from RNAcentral.
GAAAUGCGAUAAGUAAUGUGAAUUGCAGAAUUCAGUGAAUCAUCGAAUCUUUGAACGCACCUUGCGCUCCUUGGUAUUCCUUGGAGCAUGCCUGUUUGAGUAUCAUGAAAUCUUCAAAGUCAAUCUUUUGUUAACUCAAUUGGUUUCUACUUUGGUAUUGGAGGUCUUUGCAGCUUCACACCUGCUCCUCUUUGUUCAUUAGCUGGAUCUCAGUGUUAUGCUUGGUUCCACUCGGCGUGAUAAGUUAUCUAUCGCUGAGGACACUGUAAAAGGUGGCCAAGGUAAAUGCAGAUGAACCGCUUCUAAUAGUCCAUUGACUUGGACAAUACUUUUAUGAUCUGAUCUCAAAUCAGGUAGGACUACCCGCUGAACUUAAGC